UGGGGAAUUUUGGACAAUGGGGGAAACCCUGAUCCAGCCAUCCCGCGUGUGCGAUGAAGGCCUUCGGGUUGUAAAGCACUUUUGGCAGGAAAGAAACGUCAUGGGUUAAUACCCCGUGAAACUGACGGUACCUGCAGAAUAAGCACCGGCUAACUACGUGCCAGCAGCCGCGGUAAUACGUAGGGGGCAAGCGUUAAUCGGAAUUACUGGGCGUAAAGCGUGCGCAGGCGGUUCGGAAAGAAAGAUGUGAAAUCCCAGAGCUUAACUUUGGAACUGCAUUUUUAACUACCGGGCUAGAGUGUGUCAGAGGGAGGUGGAAUUCCGCGUGUAGCAGUGAAAUGCGUAGAUAUGCGGAGGAACACCGAUGGCGAAGGCAGCCUCCUGGGAUAACACUGACGCUCAUGCACGAAAGCGUGGGGAGCAAACA
Molecule: ribosomal RNA, 427 nt
Filed under: uncultured bacterium
Lineage: Bacteria
Description: partial 16S ribosomal RNA
Rfam family: Bacterial small subunit ribosomal RNA
Source: RNAcentral